UUUUCGGAUCGUAAAAAUUCUGUUGUUAGAGAAGAACAAGGAUGAGAGUAAAAUGUUCAUCCCUUGACGGUAUCUAACCAGAAAGCCACGGCUAACUACGUGCCAGCAGCCGCGGUAAUACGUAGGUGGCAAGCGUUGUCCGGAUUUAUUGGGCGUAAAGCGAGCGCAGGCGGUUUCUUAAGUCUGAUGWGAAAGCCCCCGGCUCAACCGGGGAGGGUCAUUGGAAACUGGGAGACUUGAGUGCAGAAGAGGAGAGUGGAAUUCCAUGUGUAGCGGUGAAAUGCGUAGAUAUAUGGAGGAACACCAGUGGCGAAGGCGGCUCUCUGGUCUGUAACUGACGGUGAGGCUCGAAAGCGUGGGGAGCGAACAGGAUUAGAUACCCUGGUAGUCCACGCCGUAAACGAUGAGUGCUAAGUGUUGGAGGGUUUCCGCCCUUCAGUGCUGCAGCAAACGCAUUAAGCACUCCGCCUGGGGAGUACGACCGCAAGGUUGAAACUCAAAGGAAUUGACGGGGGCCCGCACAAGCGGUGGAGCAUGUGGUUUAAUUCGAAGCAACGCGAAGAACCUUACCAGGUCUUGACAUCCUUUGACCACUCUAGAGAUAGAGCUUCCCCUUGGGGGCAAAGUGACAGGUGGUGCAUGGUUGUCGUCAGCUCGUGUCGUGAGAUGUUGGGUUAAGUCCCGCAACGAGCGCAACCCUUAUUGUUAGUUGCCAUCAUUUAGUUGGGCACUCUAGCGAGACUGCCGGUGACAAACCGGAGGAAGGUGGGGAUGACGUCAAAUCAUCAUGCCCCUUAUGACCUGGGCUACACACGUGCUACAAUGGGAAGUACAACGAGUUGCGAAGUCGCGAGGCUAAGCUAAUCUCUUAAAGCUUCUCUCAGUUCGGAUUGUAGGCUGCAACUCGCCUACAUGAAGCCGGAAUCGCUAGUAAUCGCGGAUCAGCACGCCGCGGUGAAUACGUUCCCGGGCCUUGUACACACCGCCCGUCACACCACGAGAGUUUGUAACACCCGAAGUCGGUGAGGUAACC
RNAcentral lists this ribosomal RNA (1033 nucleotides) under Enterococcus casseliflavus. RNAcentral describes it as "bacterial SSU rRNA". Lineage: Bacteria; Bacillati; Bacillota; Bacilli; Lactobacillales; Enterococcaceae. The record is from RNAcentral.